Molecule: ribosomal RNA, 427 nt
Filed under: uncultured bacterium
Lineage: Bacteria
Description: partial 16S ribosomal RNA
Rfam family: Bacterial small subunit ribosomal RNA
Source: RNAcentral
UGGGGAAUAUUGCACAAUGGGCGCAAGCCUGAUGCAGCCAUGCCGCGUGUAUGAAGAAGGCCUUCGGGUUGUAAAGUACUUUCAGCGGGGAGGAAGGCGAUAAGGUUAAUAACCUUGUCGAUUGACGUUACCCGCAGAAGAAGCACCGGCUAACUCCGUGCCAGCAGCCGCGGUAAUACGGAGGGUGCAAGCGUUAAUCGGAAUUACUGGGCGUAAAGCGCACGCAGGCGGCCUGUCAAGUCGGAUGUGAAAUCCCCGGGCUCAACCUGGGAACUGCAUUCGAAACUGGCAGGCUAGAGUCUUGUAGAGGGGGGUAGAAUUCCAGGUGUAGCGGUGAAAUGCGUAGAGAUCUGGAGGAAUACCGGUGGCGAAGGCGGCCCCCUGGACAAAGACUGACGCUCAGGUGCGAAAGCGUGGGGAGCAAACA